RNAcentral lists this ribosomal RNA (403 nucleotides) under uncultured bacterium. RNAcentral describes it as "partial 16S ribosomal RNA". It matches the Rfam family "Bacterial small subunit ribosomal RNA", at positions 30 to 526 of the family's 1533-position model. The record is from RNAcentral.
AUUGAACGCUGGCGGCAGGCCUAACACAUGCAAGUAGAGCGAGCGGCGGAGGGGUGAUGAAUGUAUGGGGACUGCCCGAUAGAGGGGGGUAAAUGCUGGAAAAGGUAUCUAAUACAGACUACUAUAGCAGAACCCAUAUGGGAUUCGCUAGUAGGUGAGGUAAUGGCUCACCUAGGCGACGAACCCUAGCUGGGCUGAGAGGGUGAUCAGCCACACUGGGACUGAGACCCGGCCCAGACUCCUACGGAGGCAGCAGUGGGGAAUAUUGCACAAUGGGCGCAAGCCUGAUGCAGCCAUGCCGCGUGUAUGAAGAAGGCCCUAGGGUUGUAAAGUACUUUCAGUCGGGAGGCGUUACCGACAGAAGAAGCACCGGCUAACUCCGUGCCAGCAGCCGCGGUAAUAC